RNAcentral lists this ribosomal RNA (253 nucleotides) under uncultured bacterium. Its description in RNAcentral is "partial 16S ribosomal RNA". It matches the Rfam family "Bacterial small subunit ribosomal RNA", at positions 524 to 776 of the family's 1533-position model. The record is from RNAcentral.
UACGGAGGGAGCUAGCGUUGUUCGGAAUUACUGGGCGUAAAGCGCACGUAGGCGGCUACUCAAGUCGGGGGUGAAAGCCCGGGGCUCAACCCCGGAACUGCCUUCGAAACUAGGUAGCUAGAAUCUUGGAGAGGCGAGUGGAAUUCCGAGUGUAGAGGUGAAAUUCGUAGAUAUUCGGAAGAACACCAGUGGCGAAGGCGACUCGCUGGACAAGUAUUGACGCUGAGGUGCGAAAGCGUGGGGAGCAAACAGG